GGAACUUGUAUACCUUUAAUGGUUGCCUUGCAAACAAGAAUACUUCUAAAGCCUGAGCACAGUCUUGAAAUAAAAGCAUGCUUUGGGCAAAUAAUACUUUUAAUUGAGACAAAUUGACCCUUAGGAUCAAGCUAUUAAUGCCCAUUGUUCCUUCUCUAUCAUUAGCAGACAUCAGUAGGUGGAUCAGCAUAAAAGUAGCAAAUGAAUACUUUGUGUGGUAAUAACUGUACUAAAUCUGAAUAUUUCUUGAAACCAUUUGCACAACUAAAAUACCUGUGAUUUAGACAUCUCCUUGGAGUGCAAUUUUAAACUGUUGCUCCCUGGGCUUAGGAACCUGUAUGUGGUUUAUGACCCAGUUAGUUUAAAUUGAUUCUUUCCCUAUUGUACCCAAUUAGCAAUUAUGGUUUUCAGAGCCCAAAGAGGGGAGGUGUGUGUUGAUGGUAGAGAAUCAAAGUCAUUAAAUACAAAAACACAAACAAAAACAAAAUGAAAACAAAACCAACUUAGCCACCUCAGGAAAAUAUACUGUAAAGGUUGUUGGUUAAAUUAUUUGAACCACUAUUUUGUUUUAUAUAGCAAGUUUAUCUAUUUUUAAACCUUCUAUACAUGACAGUGUCAAUCGACAGUGGAAUGCUUAAGUUUGUCUAUAACACAACUUCCUUUCUCUUUCCCUUCACUUAGCCAAGUGUUGAUUUUGACAUUCCCUUUCUUCAGAAGACUGGGACUUUCUCAUGCUUCUCAUGCUCUAAGCCCUAUUUUCAGAUGCUCUUAAGCCACAGAGAAAAUUAUAUAUUGGGGAAUUUAUAUCCCAUAAAGGAUUGUGUAGCUGAGAAACUGGAUUGCAUGACUGACCAUGAUUUAGGACAGGGAAGGAAAAAUUGCCAGAAAUUGGAAACAAAAGGACUUGUGUAGAGAAGGUCACCUUUGAGAGACCAAAUCAUUCUGCAGUGCACAAGGUCAACCAGGGUGACACCACAGAGAAGAAACAAGGUGGUUAAAUACCCUGACUUCACUCUUCAUCUUCUCCAGGCUGAGCCUCUCUUAACUUUUUGGUAAGAAUUAUCCAAAACUUAGAAAUUAAGCAAGAGACGGAAUGAGAAUCUCUUCAAUAUCACAUUGGGGUAUUAUUUAACAAGUCCUUGUAAGAAUUAUUUAUUUCUUUAGGAGCAUUGAGCAGUAAUUGAUCUUGCUAUUUGCUGCUAAUUAUAGGACCAGACUGUGAAUGGAUGUUCAGUUGCAGAUUUUUGUCUGGUGGAGAUCAAGUUAUUUUUAUCUGAU
Molecule: long non-coding RNA, 1278 nt
Filed under: Macaca nemestrina (pig-tailed macaque)
Lineage: Eukaryota; Metazoa; Chordata; Mammalia; Primates; Cercopithecidae
Description: lncRNA (ENSMNEG00000045861.1)
Source: RNAcentral